GUCGAACGGCAGCGGACUCUUCGGAGUGCCGGCGAGUGGCGAACGGGUGAGUAAUACAUCGGAACAUACCCCAUAGUGGGGGAUAGCUCGGCGAAAGCCGAAUUAAUACCGCAUACGACCUACGGGUGAAAGGGGGGGAUCGCAAGACCUCUCGCUAUUGGAGUGGCCGAUGGCUGAUUAGCUUGUUGGUGGGGUAAAGGCCUACCAAGGCUACGAUCAGUAGCUGGUCUGAGAGGACGACCAACCACACUGGGACUGAGACACGGCCCAGACUCCUACGGGAGGCAGCAGUGGGGAAUCUUGGACAAUGGGCGAAAGCCUGAUCCAGCAAUGCCGCGUGUGCGAAGAAGGCCUUCGGGUUGUAAAGCACUUUUGUCAGGGAAGAAAUUGCUCAAGUUAAUACCUUGAGUCGUUGACGGUACCUGAAGAAUAAGCACCGGCUAACUACGUGCCAGCAGCCGCGGUAAUACGUAGGGUGCAAGCGUUAAUCGGAAUUACUGGGCGUAAAGCGUGCGCAGGCGGUUUGCUAAGACAGUUGUGAAAUCCCCGGGCUCAACCUGGGAACUGCAAUUGUGACUGGUAGACUAGAGUUUGGCACAGGGGGGUGGAAUUCCUGGUGUA
RNAcentral lists this ribosomal RNA (621 nucleotides) under uncultured marine bacterium. RNAcentral describes it as "bacterial SSU rRNA". It matches the Rfam family "Bacterial small subunit ribosomal RNA", at positions 61 to 677 of the family's 1533-position model. The record is from RNAcentral.